Long non-coding RNA from Dreissena polymorpha, 1783 nucleotides. RefSeq lists it as uncharacterized. The transcript is spliced from 3 exons. NCBI's taxonomy places the organism in Eukaryota, Metazoa, Mollusca, Bivalvia, Myida, Dreissenidae. The record is from RefSeq and is a predicted model, not a curated record.
GUCAUUUAUUAGAUCAAUUAAAAGUCUGGUGUGUUAAAUAAUCUGGUUUAAAGUGUUUAUCUACAAAGCCUUGUUUUGUGCAGUUUAAAAUAAUCAAUACACUCAUAACCCAAUAGUCAGGUGACAGUGUACAUAGUGACACUGUUUACUCCUAUCAUACAAACGCCAUUUGACGGUUAACUUGGUUGCUGUUCAGUUUGAAAUUUCGUAUUACUUGCCUGUUUUUAAUAACAUUGUUUGUGUGUUUUCUGUGAUAUUCAUUGUAGACAUGCGUGUACAUAAUUAUUACAAUUGAUUUAAGAUUGUAAAAUCCUGUUUGUUGAAAGGGAAUUAUCAAAAUGGCGACAUCUGCAAUUUCAAGACAUUCACACAAAAAUGAAAAAUUAACAGCAUUGUGUAAUAGCCAUAGUGAGUUGUGCUGCUCCAGAUCUGUUGAGCUUAAUCACAGAUCCUGAUUUAUACUGUAGGAUUAACUGCUAUUUGAAUUUUCGUCUGCAUGUAUUUCAUAAAGGACUGAAAAGCAUUCCUACAUUAUUAAAAGAAGUGAACUGUGAACUGUCUUAUUUAUGAUGUCUUGUUUAUUGGAAUACAACACAGCCGUAACCAUCCGGGUUACAGUAUUAUAGACUAUUUUAACAGAAUUAUACUUCAACUACAUGUACUUUAACAUGUAAAACUUCAUACACUAGAGUAUCAAAAUUGGCGACAGGUUCAUUUCUAAUGUUUUGAAACGUUGGCCUAUGGUUGAAAAGUUUUAUCGCACAUCUUGUGUUUGAAUUUAUCUGUGUUUCAGUGUUAAUUUUAACUUCUAAGGUUGAUAAACUAUUGGAACUAGCUUUAUUUCUUUUAUAUUUCACAAGACAUAUACUUGAACGAUUUGAACAAAAAGGUUUUAACAUUAUAAACAGUAACAAAAUGGCAACAGGUUCAUUGUCUUCGGUUCCAAAACGUUUGCGUAUGGUUGAAGACUUUUCUUGCACAUGUUGUUUAGAGCAGAAUCUUACGGAAUCUGCAGACAUUUAUUGUGAUCAAUGUUUAAGGUUUUAUUGUAAAAAAUGUGUUAUCCUGCAUAGUCAGUUGUUUGCAAAACAUAUGACAUGUGGAAGGGAGGAUAUUAAGAAAUGGCCAGUUUCUAAGGCGGUGGAAGAUUUUCUCAGGAAGUGUGAGGUGCAUGCGGAUGAAUCACUGACACAGUUUUGCCAUGACCACGGUCAGCUGUGCUGCUCUGCAUGUGUUGGAACAAUUCACAGCCAGUGCAGUAAAGUGACUCCAAUUAAUGAGCUGACCAACACGCAGCCCACAUACCUACAGGGACUGUUAGUGGAGCUGGAAACUGUCCUGGUAGAAAUCAAAAACCUUCAGAUCAGUCAGGAGGCCAGCGUUAAGUCAUUGCAGGGAACAUACAAGGAACAUGGGGCACUCAUGAUAGAACAAAUGCGUGGCAAUUUAAAUACUAAUAUUGAUGAGUGUGGUAAAAGUUCUGUGGGUACAUCAGGAAAAAGUGAGCAAUAUUUAAAAAAAGAAAUGUGUAGGAGUGUUGUUUCUAUCGUGAAUGAAUUCGAUAAUAUUACUGCGAAGGAACUUAACGAGAUGAAAGCUGAGGUUUUAAGCAUUAAAGGGUCAGUUACAAGUUCUAUUCAUAAAUGCACCAGUGUUCACAAUGUCUUGUCACAAUUCCAUGAAAUUGUUCAGAAAAUUGGAGAUCAUUUGCAGCUCUGCCUUAUAGCCAGCAUAAAAUGUAAGCAUAUAAUACAACAGGCACUGACUCUGCUGGGAAAGUCAG